RNAcentral lists this long non-coding RNA (1338 nucleotides) under Mus musculus (house mouse). RNAcentral describes it as "long non-coding RNA chr18:86728246-86729584". Lineage: Eukaryota; Metazoa; Chordata; Mammalia; Rodentia; Muridae. The record is from RNAcentral.
GUGAGCUGGAUGCUUGUCUCCUGAGGCACAAUAAGGAAGAUUUUGUUCAAGGUUCUGAGUGUACUCUGAAGUUGACCAAGGUCAUCAGCUGUGUUUUAGAAGGGAUACUCAUGGAUGGGACCUUUUGGGGCCUUUAAUAAUAUUUACUUAUUGAAUGUGUAUGAAUGGUUUUCCUGCAUGUGUGUAUGUGCACCAUGUGUGUGGAUGGUGUCCACAGAAGUCAGAGGACUGUAUUGGGUCCCUUGAAACGACUAUUAUUGAAGAUGGCAGUGAGCCACAUUGUGUGUACUAGGAACUGAACUCAAGUCCUCUGCAUGAGAAACAUCCUAAAUGUUGAGCCAUCUUUCCAAACACACUGACCUCUCAGAAGGACAUUCCUGGCUUAAUUGUGAGGCUUCCACAUCAGGACAUAAUUUAAGAUCCCAGGUUGCUUUUGUAAAAUAGAGAGGUUGCAUUAGAAGCUCUUUUGUAUGGUUCAUAAGAUAAUGAGUCUAGGGUACACUUGUAGGCAACAUUCUUUACCAUCUGAUGACAACAGAAUCUAUCCAUGAACUUUUCUACCUGCAACUCUAUAUCAACUGGUGUUUCUUCUGCUUCCCGUCUUAAUUUUUAAUAUGCUUUAUUGCAUUUAACUGUAUGUGUGUUAGAUCUAGUAGAAUAGAAAAUGGGAAAUAGUCUUGAAUGCAUGGAUACAGGAGACAGUUUCCUGAACGGAAUACCAAUAGCUCAGGCUCUGAGAUCAACAAUUGAUACAUGGGACCUCAAGAAUCUCAUAUGCUUCUUUAAGGCAAAGGACAUUGUCAAUAGCAACCUACAGAUUGGGAAAAAAUCUUCAUCAACCCUACAUUCCAACGGAGGGCUGAUAUCUAAAAUAUAUAAAGAACUCAAGAAGCUAGACUGACAAAAACAACCUAAUUAAAAACUAGAGUGCAGAGAUAAACAGAGAAGUCUCAACAGAGGCAUCUCCAAUGGCCAAGAAACACUUAAAGAAAUGUUAAACCUCAAGAUUUCACCAUACAACCAUCAGAAUGGCUAAGAUAAAAUAUUUAAGCAACAGCUUAUGCUGGUGUGGAUGUGGAGCACAGGGACUGCACUUCCACUGCUGGUGGGAGUACAAACAUGUACAACCACUCUGGAAAUCAAUGUGAUGGUUUCUCAGAAAAUUGGAAAUAGUUCUACCUGAAGACCCAGAUAUAGUGUUUCUGGGCAUAUACCCAAAAGAUGCUCCACUAUAUCACAGGCACACAUGCUCUACUGUGUUCAUAGGAGCAUUGUUCAUAAUAGCCAGAAACUAAAACCAACCCAGAUAUCCUUCAACCAAGGAAUAGAUACAGAAAA